UGGUCCUCUGGGCAUGUGCACACCUCUGGUCACUUGUUUCUUCUGUUCCACCUGUGCACUGCCUGUAGACAUGCCAAUGGCGUGUCUAUGAUAUUUGUUACACACACGAUGUUAUGCAAGUUGGUUGGCAUAUUACAUGUUAUAAUAAAUAUACAACUUUCAACAACGGAUCUCUUGGCUCUCGCAUCGAUGAAGAACACAGCGAAAUGUGAUAAGUAAUGUGAAUUGCAGAAUCCAGUGAAUCAUCGAAUCUUUGAACGCAUCUUGCGCUCCUUGGCAUUCCGAGGAGCAUGCCUGUUUGAGUGUCAUUAAACUAUCAAAACACUUUUUCUCGAGGUGUUUUGGACUUUGGGAGCACUGUGCUGGUCUCUGUUUGAGCCAGCUCUCCUCAAAAGCAUUAACUUUGAGACCAUCAGUGUGAUAAUUUGUUUGCACUGGCCUCUCUUUUUUAACUGCCCCUUUGACCUCAAAUCAGGUAGGACUACCCGCUGAACUUAAGCAUAUCAAUAAGCGGA
RNAcentral lists this ribosomal RNA (515 nucleotides) under Amanita vaginata. Its description in RNAcentral is "eukaryotic LSU rRNA". The stretch from base 155 to 308 matches the Rfam family "5.8S ribosomal RNA". Lineage: Eukaryota; Fungi; Basidiomycota; Agaricomycetes; Agaricales; Amanitaceae. The record is from RNAcentral.